AGUCAAAUUUGGUGUACUAAACAUUCAAAUUUUAUUAAUUUUUGGAUAACGAGCUAAUUUUUCUAAAUUGUGUUUGUACUUUUACACAAAAAUGUCUUGCAAAAUGAGUGUGGUGUGUGCUAUGUACGGUUGUAACAAUUAUAAACAGCAAAAAGAGUACAAAUCAUUUUUUAGAAUGCCAAAAGAUAAAAAUUUAUAUGACAAACAUCUAGAAGAUGGAAUCCUGCGUUCUUAAAGAAAAAAGCUAGUUCCAGAAGUAAGCUACCAAUAAUAAACUAGAGAAUGUAUUACAAGAAAGCUAAUACUCAACAUAGCUCAAUUGCUUCAGAUAGAAACACAAAAAUGUAAAGGAAAGGGUACAACACAACUGUGCCAGAGAAAAUGAAAGGGCAGAAGAGAGACACAAAAUUUAUUGAUUUAUUAAAUUUAAAAACCAAAGUAUACAAAGGUCAAUUAAAUAAAGAAUAAAAAAAUGA
Long non-coding RNA from Diabrotica virgifera virgifera (western corn rootworm), 476 nucleotides. RefSeq lists it as uncharacterized. The transcript is spliced from 2 exons. The record is from RefSeq and is a predicted model, not a curated record. NCBI's taxonomy places the organism in Eukaryota, Metazoa, Arthropoda, Insecta, Coleoptera, Chrysomelidae.